This 577-nucleotide ribosomal RNA is filed under the name Trigonopterus sp. 67 AR-2020. RNAcentral describes it as "partial large subunit ribosomal RNA". It matches the Rfam family "Bacterial large subunit ribosomal RNA", at positions 1797 to 2644 of the family's 2925-position model. The record is from RNAcentral. Lineage: Eukaryota; Metazoa; Arthropoda; Insecta; Coleoptera; Curculionidae.
CGCCUGUUUAUUAAAAACAUGGCUUGUUGAUUAUAAUUUCAGGUUUGACCUGCCCAAUGAGUAGUUUAAUGGCCGCGGUAUAUUGACCGUGCAAAGGUAGCAUAAUCAUUAGUUUUUUAAUUGAAAGCUUGAAUGAAAGGUUUGAUGAAAAAAUAUCUGUCUCUGGAAAAGUUAAUUAGAAUUUUAUUUUUAAGUGAAAAAGCUUAAAUGUGUAUGGAAGACGAGAAGACCCUAUAGAGUUUUAUAUUUUUAAGUAAAGAUUGGACUGAGGAGGAUAAGAGUUAGUUUUACUUAAGAGAUAUUUUGUUGGGGUGAUAGGAAAAUUGAAUGAACUUUUCUUUAAUGGAAACAUUGGUUUAUGAAUUUAUGAUCCUGAAUUUUAGAUUAGAAGAUUAAAUUACCUUAGGGAUAACAGCGUAAUUUUUUUUAGAGUUCUUAUCGAAAAAAAAGAUUGCGACCUCGAUGUUGGAUUAAAGUUAAUUGCUGGUGCAGAAGCUAGUAUAUUAGGUCUGUUCGACCUUUAAAAUUUUACAUGAUCUGAGUUUAAACCGGCGUGAGCCAGGUCGGUUUCUAUCUA